CACAAGUCUGAUCAUGGAAGCACCACCCCAAUGAUCUUAUCUCAUUCUAAUUACCUCUCAAAGGUCUCACCUGUAAAUAUCAUCAACAUCUGAAUUUAAGUUUUCAACAUAUGAAAUUUGGUGGAUAUAGUCAAACUGUAGCAGUCAUGAAGCAAGAAUCGAAUACUUUCAAAGACUUUGAAUCAUAUAGAAUGUUUUCUCUUCACAACAGAAAAAAUUAUAAAUCAAUAACAAGAAGAUAUCUGGGAUAUUUUCAGGUGAGUAUGAUGCAUCCAACUACUUCAAGGGUGCCUC
Molecule: long non-coding RNA, 294 nt
Filed under: Homo sapiens (human)
Lineage: Eukaryota; Metazoa; Chordata; Mammalia; Primates; Hominidae
Description: HSALNT0373527
Source: RNAcentral